UCAUCAAGAAACAUGACAUAUUUUUGGCAUUUUUGGCAAUAUUAAUCAUGACAUGUAAGGUAAAAAUAAAUUAAAUGGCAUAAAAAAAAUAAAAAGAAAAUUUAAACAAGGCAGGGAGGGAUAAACAGCAACAUAGGGGGGUGCUGAUAGUAGAUCUGGGCUUAAGCCCAAGAUCCAAAAGAAAAAAGGCAAAAAAAAAAGAAGUAAAAAUGGUGGAAAAACCACCUGGGGGAUUCGAACCCACCCCCUUAAUCAACCCCUAGAAUACGAAAAUAAGCACGGAAAGUUCAAAAGCCUCACCCAAACGCAGAUCGGAGGCAGUUUUCAAAGUCUUUCUUUUCUUCUUCUCUUUCGCUCUAAACUCCUUCUCUUUCUUUCUAUCCUCUGUUGUUUUUUUGUUUUUUUUUCUCUUUGGUUUCGAUGGUUGAAAAAUUGUUGGUGGUGGGUUUUGAUGGUUGUUGUUCUUUUUAGAACGGUUGAAGAGGAAAAAAAAGGUUUGUUUUGCUGUUGUGUUUGAGGUUGUGGCUGUGGCUUCUGUGUUAAUGAAAAGAAUUAGGGUUUUGUUGCUUGUUUUUGUUUUGCAGGUUGCGGCUGUCUUCCCCUCUUUUUUUUCUCCCUGAUUUCGUUUGGUUUCUGUUAUUUUAUACCCAAAUGUCUAGGGUUUGUGUUGAUGGAAAAGGGAGGGUUUGACCUCAACUUUCCAAUGCUAAGAGCAUCAGUUUCAAAUGGGAAAAAAAAGACAGUACUCUGAGUUUGCUGUUCAGUUGUUAUGCAGGGGUUGUUUUAACGUGUUCCUCUUGUCACUGUGGUGUUGCAGAAUUUUGGAAAAAAAGAAAGAAGGGAAGGGAAAGAUCCUUUCUGGGUUGGAGAAUUUGCGUCUGACCUUUGCUGUUCUUGGACAAUUUGAUUUUUUUGAUUUUUUUAAUAAAAAAGAUAAAUAAAAUAAAAUGAAUAAAAAAAAGCAAAGAAAAACGUAAAGAAAGAAAAAGAAAGAGAAAGGGU
This 1002-nucleotide long non-coding RNA is filed under the name Trifolium pratense (red clover). RNAcentral describes it as "long non-coding RNA (TPRA_LNC007889)". Lineage: Eukaryota; Viridiplantae; Streptophyta; Magnoliopsida; Fabales; Fabaceae. The record is from RNAcentral.